RNAcentral lists this ribosomal RNA (497 nucleotides) under uncultured bacterium. RNAcentral describes it as "partial 16S ribosomal RNA". It matches the Rfam family "Bacterial small subunit ribosomal RNA", at positions 28 to 507 of the family's 1533-position model. The record is from RNAcentral.
GACGAACGCUGGCGGCGUGCCUAAUACAUGCAAGUUGAGCGAUGAAGAUUGGUGCUUGCACCAAUUUGAAGAGCAGCGAACGGGUGAGUAACGCGUGGGGAAUCUGCCUUUGAGCGGGGGACAACAUUUGGAAACGAAUGCUAAUACCGCAUAACAACUUUAAACAUAAGUUUUAAGUUUGAAAGAUGCAAUUGCAUCACUCAAAGAUGAUCCCGCGUUGUAUUAGCUAGUUGGUGAGGUAAAGGCUCACCAAGGCGAUGAUACAUAGCCGACCUGAGAGGGUGAUCGGCCACAUUGGGACUGAGACACGGCCCAAACUCCUACGGGAGGCAGCAGUAGGGAAUCUUCGGCAAUAGACGAAAGGCUGACCGAGCAACGCCGCGUGAGUGAAGAAGGGUUUCGGAUCGUAAAACUCUGUUGGUAGAGAAGAACGUUGGUGAGAGUGGAAAGCUCAUCAAGUGACGGUAACUACCCAGAAAGGGACGGCUAACUACGUG